Molecule: transfer RNA, 69 nt
Filed under: Epigonus denticulatus (pencil cardinal)
Lineage: Eukaryota; Metazoa; Chordata; Actinopteri; Acropomatiformes; Epigonidae
Description: tRNA-Met
Source: RNAcentral
AGUAAUCUCAGCUAAUUAAGCUUUCGGGCCCAUACCCCGCACAUGUUGGUUAAACUCCUUCGAUUACUA